AUUGAACGCUGGCGGCAGGCCUAACACAUGCAAGUCGAGCGGAUGAAGGGAGCUUGCUCCUGGAUUCAGCGGCGGACGGGUGAGUAAUGCCUAGGAAUCUGCCUGGUAGUGGGUGAUAACGUCCGGAAACGGGCGCUAAUACCGCAUACGUCCUGAGGGAGAAAGUGGGGGAUCUUCGGACCUCACGCUAUCAGAUGAGCCUAGGUCGGAUUAGCUAGUUGGUGGGGUAAAGGCCUACCAAGGCGACGAUCCGUAACUGGUCUGAGAGGAUGAUCAGUCACACUGGAACUGAGACACGGUCCAGACUCCUACGGGAGGCAGCAGUGGGGAAUAGUGGACAAUGGGCGAAAGCCUGAUCCAGCCAUGCCGCGUGUGUGAAGAAGGUCUUCGGAUUGUAAAGCACUUUAAGUUGGGAGGAAGGGCAGUAAGUUAAUACCUUGCUGUUUUGACGUUACCAACAGAAUAAGCACCGGCUAACUUCGU
Molecule: ribosomal RNA, 483 nt
Filed under: uncultured bacterium
Lineage: Bacteria
Description: partial 16S ribosomal RNA
Rfam family: Bacterial small subunit ribosomal RNA
Source: RNAcentral